UGGGGAAUAUUGCACAAUGGGCGCAAGCCUGAUGCAGCCAUGCCGCGUGUGUGAAGAAGGCCUUCGGGUUGUAAAGCACUUUCAGCGGGGAGGAAGGCGAUAAGGUUAAUAACCUUGUCGAUUGACGUUACCCGCAGAAGAAGCACCGGCUAACUCCGUGCCAGCAGCCGCGGUAAUACGGAGGGUGCAAGCGUUAAUCGGAAUUACUGGGCGUAAAGCGCACGCAGGCGGUCUGUCAAGUCGGAUGUGAAAUCCCCGGGCUCAACCUGGGAACUGCAUUCGAAACUGGCAGGCUAGAGUCUUGUAGAGGGGGGUAGAAUUCCAGGUGUAGCGGUGAAAUGCGUAGAGAUCUGGAGGAAUACCGGUGGCGAAGGCGGCCCCCUGGACAAAGAGUGACGCUCAGGUGCGAAAGCGUGGGGAGCAAACAGG
RNAcentral lists this ribosomal RNA (429 nucleotides) under Chloroflexota bacterium. RNAcentral describes it as "Chloroflexi bacterium partial 16S ribosomal RNA". It matches the Rfam family "Bacterial small subunit ribosomal RNA", at positions 355 to 776 of the family's 1533-position model. The record is from RNAcentral. Lineage: Bacteria; Bacillati; Chloroflexota.